AAACUUUAGAGUUUGAUCCUGGCUCAGAACGAACGCUGUCGGCAGGCUUAACACAUGCAAGUCGAACGCACCUUCGGGUGAGUGGCAGACGGGUGA
Molecule: ribosomal RNA, 96 nt
Filed under: Alphaproteobacteria bacterium
Lineage: Bacteria; Pseudomonadati; Pseudomonadota; Alphaproteobacteria
Description: partial 16S ribosomal RNA
Rfam family: Bacterial small subunit ribosomal RNA
Source: RNAcentral